Molecule: ribosomal RNA, 468 nt
Filed under: uncultured bacterium
Lineage: Bacteria
Description: partial 16S ribosomal RNA
Rfam family: Bacterial small subunit ribosomal RNA
Source: RNAcentral
GACGAACGCUGGCGGCGUGCUUAACACAUGCAAGUCGAACGGAAAGGCCCUGCUUUUGUGGGGUGCUCGAGUGGCGAACGGGUGAGUAUCACGUGAGUAACCUGUCCUUGACUUUGGGAUAACUUCAGGAAACUGGGGCUAAUACCGGAUAGGAGCUCCUGCUGCAUGGUGGGGGUUGGUAAGUUUCGGCGGUUGGGGAUGGACUCGCGGCUUAUCAGCUUGUUGGUGGGGUAGUGGCUUACUAAGGCUUUGACGGGUAGCCGGCCUGAGAGGGUGACCGGCCACAGUGGGACUGGGGUGCGGCCCGGACUCAUACGGGAGGCAGCAGUGGGGAAUAUUGCACAAUGGGCUGAAGCCUGAUGCAGCAUCGCCGCGUGCGGGAUGACGGCCUUCGGGUUGUAAACCGCUUUCGCCUGUGACGAAGCGUGAGUGACGGUAAUGGGUAAAGAAGCACCGGCUAACUACGUG